Molecule: long non-coding RNA, 1228 nt
Organism: Bombus pyrosoma
Lineage: Eukaryota; Metazoa; Arthropoda; Insecta; Hymenoptera; Apidae
Exons: 3
Source: RefSeq, a predicted model, not a curated record
CGAAUUUAGUGACCUUCCAUGUUGAUCUUUUAUGACUAGACCUGACUCGAUUUUCGAACGGUUCUCCCUAGCGCGUAUCGAGACCUGUUUAUUUGAUCGUGAACGAGAUAUAUAACUUUUAUCAUUAAAUAAAUAAGUAAAUAAAUAUAUAUAUAUAUAGAGAGAGAGAGCCACUAAUACGAAUCGAAUUGUCAUUAAUGUUCAAAAGACAUCAAAUAUUAUUGAAACGAUGCAAAUCACGGCAUUGUACCAAACUUGUCAAACAAUCGGAUUACGUUCAGCUGUGCGAUUAGUAAUUAAAACGUCUGCGUCAUCAGACGAAUACUAUUUAUGAAUAUGAAUCUAUGCAUCUUUCCAAAUAUAGGGAACGUGUAAUUUAGAAUUUUAAUUUAUGUACGUAUUAUAAAUCGUAAACGAUUGAUCAUUUUCACAAUGAUAUUUUUAACUUCAUUUCGGUCGAUACUAUGUAAUACUUGAAAGAUUCUCGAUUAAAUUUUUUUCUCCUUCCCGUGAAAAUCAAACCAAAACUGAAUUUGUAUUUCGUUUAUGAAAUUAGAAAAAAUGUCCUUCUAUUUAAGUAACAUAAAAUGGUAAGUAAUAAAAUGUACAAUUUUAUAUGCUGAAAAUUUUAACAAAAAUAGUAGGAAUAACGUAGUUACAUAAAUAGCGAUUUAUUUAAGUAAUUUCAUGUAGAUGAUAAUUAUAUGUGUAAAUGAAAGUAAUAUUAUUAUAAAUAAUUAUAUUACACUAAACUCACAUUAGUUACAAUUAUCAAUCGUUUAGAAAUAGUGCUUUUUAUUAUUAAUAAUAUUUUAAUUUAUAUUUAAUUUCAUAAUAAGAAAUAACAAAGCAAUGUUAAUAAAGCGAUAUAAACAACAAUGAUAUUUAUUUAUCUAAACAUGAUAGCAAAAUCGAUAACGAAUAAUGGCCAGAAGAGUACAUUAAUUUUAUAGUCACUAAAACUCUGAAGAUCUUUUUAUUAUUAGAGAAAAAGAAGAAUUCUAAUUUCUUCAAUUGGGACUCGAAAAUUCAGUUUCUCCGAUAACAUUUUUCCAAUUAUUGAAUAUAACAAGGAAUGUUCCAUAUUUUCUAAAAUUUUAAAUCGAUAAAAAUCACGAAUGAAAAUGAAAGUUUUUUAUUAAUUACUAAUUAACAUUUCAUUUUCUCUAAUCAUAAUUUUGUCGUUAUUAAGAGAUUAAAAUUUCUUUAAUCAGUCAAAACUGCAGUU